RNAcentral lists this ribosomal RNA (585 nucleotides) under Triticum aestivum (bread wheat). Its description in RNAcentral is "partial small subunit ribosomal RNA". Lineage: Eukaryota; Viridiplantae; Streptophyta; Magnoliopsida; Poales; Poaceae. The record is from RNAcentral.
AUGGCAAAGUACUGGUGGUCAAGCUCGAUUGAUAAAAGGGCUCUCCACGGGCUGUCUUGGGACAAAUUGGCGUCACCAAAAAUCAAAGGUGGGAUGGGUUUCAAAGAUCUCCCACUUUUCAAUCUAGCUAUGCUUGGCAAACAAGGGUGGCGCCUCUUGACACAUCCACACUCUCUCUGUGCUCGUGUGUUGAAGGGGAAGUACUACCCUAACACAGAUUUUCUUCAUGCUACUGCUCUGGCGAGAGCCUCGGCGACGUGGAAGGCCAUUGUUGCGGGUAGAGAAGCAUUGAAGCAGGGGCUGAUCCAUAGGAUAGGCGACGGCACAAGCAUCUCCACUUGGACCGAUCCAUGGAUCCCCAACACUGCAACUCUGAAACCCAGUGGAUGACUAGGGUCUGCACCAUUGCCACAUGUUUCAGAUUUGAUAGAUCAUUAUACAGGAUCAUGGAACAUUGAGCUAGUACGGCUAAAUUUUCUCCAUCCAGAUGUAGAAGCUAUCCUCAAUAUCCCGUUGAGUGCACAUGGUGGGGAAGACAGCCUCGCUUGGGCUCUAGAAAAAUCGGGCAACUACACUGUUAAAUCG